UCUGUGAUGCCCUUAGAUGUUCUGGGCCGCACGCGCGCUACACUGACAGAGCCAGCGAGUUUUUUCCUUGGCCGGAAGGUCUGGGUAAUCUUGUGAAACUCUGUCGUGCUGGGGAUAGAGCAUUGCAAUUCUUGCUCUUCAACGAGGAAUUCCUAGUAAGCGCAAGUCAUCAGCUUGCGUUGAUUACGUCCCUGCCCUUUGUACACACCGCCCGUCGCUACUACCGAUUGAAUGGCUUAGUGAGGUUUCCGGAUUGGCUUUGAGGAGCUGGCAACGGCACCUUGUCGCCGAGAAGUUACCCAAACUUGGUCAUUUAGAGGAAGUAA
This 326-nucleotide ribosomal RNA is filed under the name uncultured eukaryote. RNAcentral's name for it is "SSU rRNA". It matches the Rfam family "Eukaryotic small subunit ribosomal RNA", at positions 1461 to 1785 of the family's 1831-position model. The record is from RNAcentral.